GUGCCAGGCGAGAAACCUCCGCAAUACACGAAAGUGUGACGGGCCAUCCCGAGUGCCGUCCGCUGAGGACGGCUUUCCCCAGUGUACAUAGCUGGGGAAUAAGGAGAGGGCAAGCCUGGUGUCAGCCGCCGCGGUAAUACCAGCUCUCCGAGUGGUGGGGACGCUUAUUGGGCCUAAAGCAUCCGUAGCCGGCUAGGCAAGUCCUCCGUUAAAUCCAACGAUUCAAUCGUUGGGCUGCGGGGGAUACUGUCCAGCUUGGGGGCGGGAGAGGCCGACGGUAUUCCCGGGGUAGGGGUGGAAUCCUAUAAUCCCGGGAGGACCACCAGUGGCGAAGGCUGUCGGCUAGAACGCGCCCGACGGUGAGGGAUGAAAGCUGGGGGAGCGGACCGGAUUAGAUACCCGGGUAGU
This 408-nucleotide ribosomal RNA is filed under the name uncultured microorganism. Its description in RNAcentral is "bacterial SSU rRNA". It matches the Rfam family "Archaeal small subunit ribosomal RNA", at positions 332 to 745 of the family's 1478-position model. The record is from RNAcentral.